Molecule: ribosomal RNA, 428 nt
Filed under: Actinomycetes bacterium
Lineage: Bacteria; Bacillati; Actinomycetota; Actinomycetes
Description: Actinobacteria bacterium partial 16S ribosomal RNA
Rfam family: Bacterial small subunit ribosomal RNA
Source: RNAcentral
UAGGGAAUCUUCCGCAAUGGGCGAAAGCUUGACGGAGCAACGCCGCGUGAGUGAUGAAGGUCUUCGGAUCGUAAAACUCUGUUAUUAGGGAAGAACAAAUGUGUAAGUAACUAUGCACGUCUUGACGGUACCUAAUCAGAAAGCCACGGCUAACUACGUGCCAGCAGCCGCGGUAAUACGUAGGUGGCAAGCGUUAUCCGGAAUUAUUGGGCGUAAAGCGCGCGUAGGCGGUUUUUUAAGUCUGAUGUGAAAGCCACGGCUCAACCGUGGAGGGUCAUUGGAAACUGGAAAACUUGAGUGCAGAAGAGGAAAGUGGAAUUCCAUGUGUAGCGGUGAAAUGCGCAGAGAUAUGGAGGAACACCAGUGGCGAAGGCGACUUUCUGGUCUGUAACUGACGCUGAUGUGCGAAAGCGUGGGGAUCAAACAGG